UGUGUUCCCAUGUGUGGCCACUUCCCCUGAUCAUCCCUCUUGUGUAUUUAGUCUCUGUGUUUCAUGUAGUCUGUGUCGCGUCGUCUGUGUUCUCACCCCCAUGUUUUCACGAUCAGUCUUUUGUGAUCAUCAUCGUCUCAGAGUUCUCUUAGUUUGUCACAGUAUUAGUUUUCCCAGUUUAGUUAUAGUUCAGCCACGCUAUCCCUGCUGUGUUUGUAUUCCUGGUCUUCAGUCAAAUUAAAGGCUCGCUUUCUGUUAAACUCACUCCCGUCUACUCACUUGUGUACGCUCCUGGGUCCAUUACACACACCACCGCACGGCCUGCCUCUGCAGACCGUGACACCCCUGCUUUACAAGACUAUUCUACACACUGAUCAGCCCCAAUGUUCAAGCUUCAGUUUCUGCUGCCAGCUUGUAUUGCGAAGUUGGCCGUGGCAUGGUUGACUUAACGGGGAGCACCAGGUAGCACAUCGAGGGUCCUCUCACUCAAGUCAUCCAGCGAGUCAAAGGUAGCACCUCCUGCUGCCCUCCCCUUCAGCUGCUGUUCAGCCACAUCAGUGUCAGGCCCCUGGUUCCCUGGAGGAGGGCUGCCACGGCAGGCCGGUUGGGACUCGGAAGCCUAAUUGGGGCCCAAGGAUGCCUCACUCUGCUGCUACAGCUGUGCUGCCGCUGGCUGAUGGUAGGAUCAAAACCCCGUGACUAGCCAGAGGUCAGAGGUUGCUGGGUGGCUGCUCAGCAUGCAAAGCCGGAGGAGGUCCUGCCUGUGUCACCAGGCGGAUCAGGCAGUGCUGUCCUGCAGUCUGCAUGAACUCUGACUGAAGCCCUCAGCUGCUCAGUGUGUCUCUUUCUCUGACUCUGUCUCUAAAUGGAGCUGAUGUCUGUAUAAAGUUUGAAAUCCUUCAGUGAAAUAAACAUGUAAUCAUAGAUGA
Molecule: long non-coding RNA, 929 nt
Organism: Haplochromis burtoni (Burton's mouthbrooder)
Lineage: Eukaryota; Metazoa; Chordata; Actinopteri; Cichliformes; Cichlidae
Exons: 3
Source: RefSeq, a predicted model, not a curated record